GACGAACGCUGGCGGCGUGCCUAAUACAUGCAAGUCGAGCGAAGUUUUUCUGGUGCUUGCACUAGAAAAACUUAGCGGCGAACGGGUGAGUAACACGUAAAGAACCUGCCUCAUAGACUGGGAUAACUAUUGGAAACGAUAGCUAAUACCGGAUAACAGCAUUAACUGCAUGGUUGAUGUUUAAAAGUUGGUUUUGCUAACACUAUGAGACGGCUUUGCGGUGCAUUAGCUAGUUGGUGGGGUAAAGGCCUACCAAGGCGACGAUGCAUAGCCGACCUGAGAGGGUGAUCGGCCACACUGGGACUGAGACACGGCCCAGACUCCUACGGGAGGCAGCAGUAGGGAAUCUUCCGCAAUGGGCGAAAGCCUGACGGAGCAACGCCGCGUGAGUGAAGAAGGAUUUCGGUUCGUAAAGCUCUGUUGUUAGGGAAGAAUGAUUGUGU
RNAcentral lists this ribosomal RNA (443 nucleotides) under Gemella sp. oral taxon G07. Its description in RNAcentral is "bacterial SSU rRNA". It matches the Rfam family "Bacterial small subunit ribosomal RNA", at positions 28 to 458 of the family's 1533-position model. The record is from RNAcentral. Lineage: Bacteria; Bacillati; Bacillota; Bacilli; Caryophanales; Gemellaceae.